Mytilus californianus (California mussel) is the source of this 5567-nucleotide long non-coding RNA. RefSeq lists it as uncharacterized. The record is from RefSeq and is a predicted model, not a curated record. NCBI's taxonomy places the organism in Eukaryota, Metazoa, Mollusca, Bivalvia, Mytilida, Mytilidae. The transcript is spliced from 9 exons.
AUCAAAAUAUUCUUUUUAUCAUAAAUAUAGUAUCUGUUAGCAUAUCAAAAACACACAAGCUGUUAGGUAUCAACAUCUUGACAUGAUAUUCAAAAACAGAACACAAGCCACAUGUCAUGUGUUUACCAUUUUAUAUUCCAUCUUUUAAAAGUGAACAAGGAAACUGCUGCAGUUUAGCAUUACAUUAGCAUUGCAAGAUUAUGUGAAGGACAGCUUACACUUAUAUCUAAAUGUUAAUUAAACAAGGAAUUAUUUGAAUCUGGAAUAAUUUUGAAUUCUGGAAAAUUGACAGGAAAUUUAUGAUGAAAACUAACCCAAUUUAGUUAGUUCAUACAGAAAUAUCAGCGAAAGUAAAAUUAACCUUAGCCUUUAGUUGGGUUAGUUUUCAUCAUACAUUUCUUAUCAGUUUUCCAGAAUUCAAAAUUAUUUCAGAUUCAAAUAAUUCCUUGUUAUUUAAUAUAUUUUCAUUUUUAAAAAAGGUAAAAUUCCAAACUGAGAUAUCAGUAAAACAUUAUUUAUGGAUAAACAAAUCUCAAAUGUAUUAUGCAUACAUAUGGUUUUUAGCAAUUUCUGACAGAAUAAAACUUUAGCAUACAUAAAUAAUACUAUGUUUCAAGAGAAAAAAAAUUGAAGUUUUAGCAGUGAACAAUACUUAAAAGGAUAACCGGAAUUAUCAAAAUGCAUGCUUUGUUUAUAAAAAAGAUUCUGAAAUGAUCAACAUAGAAGUAAAUGGGUUUCUUAAAAAAGAUUCAUGAGGUUAAAUAUAUGUGAAAAUGUAUAUUCAUGGUUAAUAUGUGCAACAUAUAUUUAAUCAUAAUAUGAUUAAUUUCCUGGGAAUUCAAAAAAUUCUUUAAGGGAAUACUUUUCUUGUCAACUGAUGGAUAAAGAAUAUCUAUUUGUUAAAAAUUGUUUAUAUAUAUCUAUAAAUAGAAUGGUUGCUUUCUUGUGAAAUGACAUUAUUUGAAUUACCAAGUCAGGAAUAUGACAGUUGUUUUCCAUUCUUUGAAGUGUUUGAGCUUUUGAUUUUGCCAUUUGAUAAGGGACUUUCCUUUUUGAAUUUUCCUUGGAGUUUGGUAAUUUUGUUAUUUUACUUUUUACAUGUAUAGAAGAUGCAUAGACUAAAACACUGAAUUAUAUAACAGUAAAGUGAGUGACUCUUUCCGAAAUAUAGGUCAAGCUUGUGACACUUUCCUUAAUAUAAGUAAAGAUUGUGACACAGCCAUAAAUAAAGAUCAAAUAUAGGAUACUUCCCCGCUAGAUAAAGACCAACACAUGUGACAUAAAAAUGGAUAAAGAUCAAACAUGCGACACUGAUCUGGACAAAGAUCAAACAUGUGACACUGAUCUGGACAAAGAUCAUACAUGUGACACUGUUUUGUAAGAUCAAAUAUGUGACAAUGCUCUGGUUAAAUGACAAGCAUGUGACACUACCCUGGAUAACAGUUCAAUGACACUAUCCAGGAUAUAGGUCAAGCAUGUGAUAUUGCCAUGGACAAAUUUCAACAUAUGACACUGCCCUGGAUAUUGGUCAAACAUGCAACACUGCCCUGCAUAUAGGUCUAACAUGUUACACUGCCCUGGAAAAAGGUUUCAAUAUGACUAUCCUGGAUGCAAGCUAAUGAUACUGAACUGGAUUAAGGUCAAGCAUGUUGUCGGGGAUAAAAAUCAAGCAUGAGACUCUGCAAUGGAUAAAGGUAAGGCAUCUGACAAUUACAUUGAUGAAGGUCAAGCAUAUGAUAUACACUGCCCAAAUAUGUAUAGAUAAUUUACAAUUACAAAAUUUGCCUUGCUCCUUAUGAUGGCACUAUAAAUCUAAGAUAGCCAUAACAAUGGCUACAGAAAUUUACCUCAAGAAGUUGAUUAUCAUAGUCUUAAAAAAAAGAAGAGAAUUUUACCUUGAUGCCAAUGAGAUUAUUUAUAUAGGUCAUUUUUGAGUACAUUUGAUGUUAUUGGAGCUGAACCUAGUUACAUAAUUAUAUAAGAGAAAAAGACUCAAUUCUAAAAAGAAAAAGCCUUCAUGAAGGACAGAUUAUAAUCUCCUUUGUUGAAAGACUCGCUGUGUCCAUGAGUCAACACAUUAUGUUACUUACGUUUAGACCAUUUAGUUUUCUAGCAGAAAUUAUCAAAUAAUAAACUUAAUCUCAGUAAGGGAGGUUUAAAUGUCUUGGUUUAAACUAAAGCUUAAUCUCAGUCCGGGAGGUUUAAAUGUCUUGGUAUAAACUUACGCUUAAUCUCAGUCAGGGAGGUUUAAAUGUCUUGGUAUAAACUAACGCUUAAUCUCAGUCAGGGAUGUUUAAAUGUCUUGGUAUAAACUAACGCUUAAUCUCAGUCGGGGAGGUUUAAAUGUCUUGGUAUAAACUAAAGCUAAAUCUCAGUCAGGGAUGUUUAAAUGUCUUGGUAUAAACUAAAGCUUGAUCUCAGUCUGGUAAGUUUAAAUGUCUUGGUAUAAACUAAAGCUAAAUCUCAGUCAGGGAUGUUUAAAUGUCUUGGUAUAAACUAAAGCUUAAUCUCAGUCAGGGAGGUUUAAAUGUCUUGGUAUAAACUAAAGCUUAAUCUCAGUCAGGGAGGUUUAAAUGUCUUGGUAUAAACUAACGCUUAAUCUCAGUCAGGGAGGUUUAAAUGUCUUGGUAUAAACUAAAGCUUAAUCUCAGUCAGGGAGGUUUAAAUGUCUUGGUAUAAACUAAAGCUUAAUCUCAGUCAGGGAGGUUUAAAUGUCUUGGUAUAAACUAAAGCUUAAUCUCAGUCAGGGAGGUUUAAAUGUCUUGGUAUAAACUAACGCUUAAUCUCAGUCAGGGAGGUUUAAAUGUCUUGGUAUAAACUAACGCUUAAUCUCAGUCAGGGAGGUUUCAAUGUCUUGGUAUAAACUAAAGCUAAAUCUCAGUCAGGGAUGUUUAAAUGUCUUGGUAUAAACUAAAGCUUAAUCUCAGUCAGGGAAGUUUAAAUGUCUUGGUAUAAACUAAAGCUUAAUCUCAGUCAGGGAAGUUUAAAUGUCUUGGUAUAAACUAAAGCUUAAUCUCAGUCAGGGAAGUUUAAAUGUCUUGGUAUAAACUAAAGUUUAAUCUCAGUCAGGGAGGUUUAAAUGUCUUGGUAUAAACUAAAGCUUAAUCUCAGUCAGGGAUGUUUAAAUGUCUUGGUAUAAACUAACGCUUAAUCUCAGUCAGGGAGGUUUCAAUGUCUUGGUAUAAACUAAAGCUUAAUCUCAGUCAGGGAGGUUUAAAUGUCUUGGUAUAAACUAAAGCUUAAUCUCAGUCAGGGAAGUUUAAAUGUCUUGGUAUAAACUAAAGUUUAAUCUCAGUCAGGGAGGUUUAAAUGUCUUGGUAUAAACUAAAGCUUAAUCUCAGUCAGGGAUGUUUAAAUGUCUUGGUAUAAACUAAAGCUUAAUCUCAGUCAGGAGGUUUAAAUGUCUUGGUAUAAACUAAAGCUUAAUCUCAGUCAGGGAGGUUUAAAUGUAGGCCAGUGAUGACUAUUAUAUAUGAAUCCUUAACAUAAGGUAAUUUUCAUGCAUCUGUGAAUUUAAAAUUAACUAUUAGCUUGAAAUGUCAGAGUUAUCCAAUGUAUUUGGAGGUUGAAUAAAUACGUGAACCAUGAAUAUGACAAGUGACAUUAACCUUCUUAAAUAUCAUCAGACUAUCAAAGAUUGAUAUGCACAUUAUUUAUAUGGCUGUAUAUAUUAAACAGUUUCAUGCAUGUGAACACAGAUGAGAAUGACAAAGUAACUCUAUCUGUCCUUCUAAACUUUGACGAGGCAGGGAAUAAUGGUUUGCCAUCAUCCAAAUUGUUGGGACUAGUGUUCUAUUUUCAGGAUCUUAUAUUUUUGGAUAAAUACAUAUAUCAUUACCUUCCUCUUCUACAACUAAAUCACAGAUAGCAUGAAAUUAAAUAUUUUAAAAAUUAGCAUUUCUUUACACAUCAGCAUAAAUAUUUUAGGCAUAAUGAAACAUUGAAAAUCAAAGUUUUUCUUUCAUUAAAAAAUAAAAAUUUUCUGAAAUAUCUUUUACAAUUUUGAGUAUUAUAAUUUUUCUUUUAAGACGUUAGUAUACAUGAAAUAAAUAUAAAUAUUCUGUAUUUUUCUUAAGGGCUAUUCCAUUAAAAUGUAUGUGGGAGGGUAGGAAGGGACUUUCAAAAUAUCCCUACAACCAAAACCAUUUUUUAGAUAAUUUUGCAUAAUGGUAAUAGACGCAUACUGAAAAAAGACCCAUGACCCACAUUCAAUAAUUAAACUUUCCUUCCUACCCUCCCACAUACAUUUUAAUGGAAUAGCCCUUAAAACUUUGUUGAAGAUAGAACAUUGUUUUUCAUAAAAAAUAACAUAUCAUCAAUCUUAAGAUACUAUCAAACAACCUUUGUUUUAUCCCUUCUGAUUCUGAAGUGUUAGGAAUGAUAAGAUACAAGAAGCUGAAAUGUAUGUGCCUAUAAGCUUUUUUUUUCUGUUAUGCAAUCAUAUAACUUUGACCUUUUACCCCUGACCUGGGUCUAGUUAUCUUUUCCUCAAGCAGAAGCAAUGCAUCAAUUUCAUUGAAGAUAAGACACAUACAUAAUCCAGAUUUCAAAUAUUUUCCAUUUUUAUUUUGACAGAAUUUGUAAACUAAUAAAAAUAAAUAACAUGCAUGAAAUACUUCACAGUUUCUACAAAAGACACAGUGAGAAUGUCCUCCACUGGGAUCACUGAAUUUUAUAUGUCAGCAAAAUAUAGACCAGAAAUGCUAAGAUGAUUUUCAUAAACAUAGAAGACACUCGAAACAAAAAUUUAUAAACAGUAAAAUCAUUGUAACUUAAGAAAUAAAGAACAUCAAAAUAGAUAACAUGCUAAACGGUACAACAUAUAUAUAAUAUCAAAUGUACGUUACCAAUGAAUUCUACAGGAUGAAAAAUAUAUUAUUGUCCUAUCACUCCUCUUACAAACAAUAAGAAAGAGAAAAUUUGUUCAAAUGACAGAGAUAAUUACCCCCAAAUUCCUUCCUCAAUACAGGUAAAAGCCACAAAAAAUUGGGUCAAAUUAUCUUUACCAUCAAGGAAUACAAUUAUAACUCUUUCUUACAAUUAAACUGAACAGGGGCUAAUGAGCUUAAAACCCACAAUCAAAGUCUAUGUAUUAUAACUCUUUCUUACAAUUAAACUGAACAGGGGCUAAUGAGCUUAAAACCCACAAUCAAAGUCUAUGUAUUAUAUUAAAUAACUAGGUUUAUCACAGAUACAUUUCCAAGGAUGGAGCUAAUAAAAUAAUUAUCUAAACUGUUUGUACCUCUCUGCAGUACAGCUUAAUUUUACUGCCAACAAAUUCAAACUUUAUUAUAGUCUUUCAAAAUUAAUUUCAUUAAGAAUCCUUUUUCAAAUUUCUCAAAUACAAUCUCAUGAUUUAAGGUUGGCACUAAAAAUGAAGAAUGGUGCUGGAGAUCCAAGGGUGGGACUAAAAAUUCAAAGUUGGAGUAGCUUCACCCAUAAAGAGGCUGUGGUGAUCCCCGAAUGGUAUAUUGAUCAAGUUACAAUCUUCCUCAUGUAAAUCUAACAAAUAAUCAAUACAUAUCAUUUAAAACAUUAAUUAAUCAACAAUUUAAAAAGUAGCUAAU